GUUUGACCUCGGAUCAGGUAGGGAUACCCGCUGAACUU
RNAcentral lists this ribosomal RNA (38 nucleotides) under Curvularia spicifera. Its description in RNAcentral is "partial 28S ribosomal RNA". Lineage: Eukaryota; Fungi; Ascomycota; Dothideomycetes; Pleosporales; Pleosporaceae. The record is from RNAcentral.